CAGGAACUGGUAUCAACCCAGC
This 22-nucleotide microRNA is filed under the name Hevea brasiliensis (rubber tree). Its description in RNAcentral is "hbr-miR6482". Lineage: Eukaryota; Viridiplantae; Streptophyta; Magnoliopsida; Malpighiales; Euphorbiaceae. The record is from miRBase by way of RNAcentral.